AUUAUUAGCUGCUUAGCAACAGCUCACUAAAGUGGAGGGACCACCCAGGCGGACGGACCUCAUGUGAGCAUCUCCGACCUCGGGGGAAGGCUCGUCGAGGGCCGAGCCCGCUCGGCGCGGCGCGUCGCGUGCUCCGCGUCGCUCCGGAGAAGUCGGUGGACGGAGGGAGCGCGAGGCCGAGAACACGCUGUCGGAGGGAAAGGCGAGGAAAGUUAGGACUACGCGCGCGCUUCUCUGCGCGUGUGUGCGUGCGUGUGCGUGUGUGUUGUUUUCGCCCAACACUCCUCUUGCGUGAGCCUCAAAUUACGGCGGUUCAAGGGGAGGUCCUCCGGUUGGGUGUCACUGCUACAAUUAGAUCGGAAAUUACAAACGCAUUGUGAUUAAGUAUAAAUGUGGCAUUAACUCUUGUAUUUUGUUGUUUAUAAUUUUGGUAAAUUUUAAAUAAUGAUAUAAAUUAUAAAAUAUAAUUACAUAUGCUGAAUGCUAUUAUCAUAAAUUAUUAUUGGGUGGCAAAAUAUAGCAAAAAAAUAGCAAUACUAAAUACUCAUUAUUGUACUUUUAUUGCAACGUCCUGACGUGUAUAAUGGAGGCUCAAAUGAGGCACCACUGUGUAUUCUUAUUAAAAAACUACUGCUUCCAUAUAUAUAAAAAUGAUUUUCAGAUCAUUCUCAAACAUUCAUCCUACAACUUUAACUGCUUCUUUUUAAAACGGCAGUGGUGGCAAGGACUCAAGCAGGAACUGGAGGUAAUGAUCCGCUGAUGGACCAGAGCAUCAGCCCAUCAGUGCCCGGAUUGUCACCUGAUCAGUAGUUACGCACAUGCAAAGCAAAAGACAGCGGCUGCUCAAAUGCACACAGACAUGAAGUUUUAAACAACUGCAUAUACGCUUGUUGACGGCAAGUCUGAAGUUCUAUCUGCACCAGCGAGAGCACAAGCGCUCCAUGUGGUGGGAUGUGCUGCUGUGAUAAAUCUCCUGAAUGGCGCAUGGCUGGGUUUAGUGCAGACGACCAAAGCAGCAACGAGACCAUUCGCUUGUGUGUGAGUCAAAACCAGCUCCCACGGUGGAGCAAAGUGAGACUGUGAUGCCCCCUAAUGCCCUGAACAGAACCAGGCCCGUCUCCGCGGAUCACGCCGUUAAAGCGAGCGCGAGUCCAAAGCCCGACGUCACAUGUGAGCUAGACAGUCAGGCUGUUGAUGAUGGUAACGCUGUAGGAGCCCAUUAAAGUGCCCCGGGUCAUUGUGGAAAAUGGUCCUCUACUUCCAAUACUGUAGUGCAGCGGCUGUAAAGAUAUGCCAGUAAAAAGCUCGGGGAGAUUAUAUUGCAAGCAUCUGUGUGAACUAAUGAAAUACGUAUGCGCAUAAAAUGCCAUAACACCCUUGACCAAACAUGAGCAUAUUUCCUCCUUUUCAUUUACCAUAAUGUGUUAAUAUGGAUCAGAUGAUGCUCUGUAAUUGUGUGCGUUCGGUGUGAUAGCGCUCCUUUUUUUGGUGGGAUUCCCGGCCUUUUCUCGUGAGCAGCGAGGGCAGUGGGUUUAUUUCCUGCACGCAUCUGUCCUGUUGUUGUCAACACCUUUGCUCCUUUGGAUGCAAUGCACCUCGUAAUAAUAAAAUAAGCAGGACUAUUGCUGGUUUGAUUUUUUUUUUUAAUCAUAAAUUUGUGAGAAAUUUGUAGGAAAAGGAUGAAUUCAUGCCUUCGGCGACUCUUUGCACAUCAACAAACAGCUGUUACGUCCACUUUAUCAGUUCGUACCUCACGUUUUUAUGUCAUCCUCUUCUAGAUCCACAUGGAGGAAAUGAGAUGAAGCACACAUAGAACUGGAGGAAUUGGGCUGAGAUCCCAGAAUUGCUUCAUCAACCGCCUUCUUUAACCCCUGGCAGCACCGUUCACAAGCCUCAAGGCUGGUGGCUGGACAGGGGCCAGCAGGAAAAGCCUUGUUUACUCUGAGGUUGGACACAAUCAACGUCCGCCCCGAACGGAACCAAACCAACCUGUCUCCGCGUCAUCCCCGUCCAGCGGGGCACCGCCAUCGAGGACUGUUCGCUUUCUGCACAUGGCGUGACCACACAUGGAAAACGAUCAUGUCACGACAAGGUCUGAUUGCCAGAGACUCCUCGUGUGCCUCUCUGAAUUAUCCUGUGUCAAAUAAAUUCAUUUUAAGCUCA
This is a long non-coding RNA of Betta splendens (Siamese fighting fish), 2163 nucleotides long. RefSeq lists it as uncharacterized. Lineage: Eukaryota; Metazoa; Chordata; Actinopteri; Anabantiformes; Osphronemidae. The transcript is spliced from 2 exons. The record is from RefSeq and is a predicted model, not a curated record.